GAUGAACGCUGGCGGCGUGCCUAAUACAUGCAAGUCGAGCGAACGGACGAGAAGCUUGCUUCUCUGAUGUUAGCGGCGGACGGGUGAGUAACACGUGGAUAACCUACCUAUAAGACUGGGAUAACUUCGGGAAACCGGAGCUAAUACCGGAUAAUAUUUUGAACCGCAUGGUUCAAUAGUGAAAGAUGGUUUUGCUGUCACUUAUAGAUGGAUCCGCGCUGUAUUAGCUAGUUGGUAAGGUAACGGCUUACCAAGGCAACGAUGCAUAGCCGACCUGAGAGGGUGAUCGGCCACACUGGAACUGAGACACGGUCCAGACUCCUACGGGAGGCAGCAGUAGGGAAUCUUCCGCAAUGGGCGAAAGCCUGACGGAGCAACGCCGCGUGAGUGAUGAAGGUCUUCGGAUCGUAAAACUCUGUUAUUAGGGAAGAACAUAUGUGUAAGUAACUGUGCACAUCUUGACGGUACCUAAUCAGAAAGCCACGGCUAACUACGUG
Molecule: ribosomal RNA, 497 nt
Filed under: uncultured bacterium
Lineage: Bacteria
Description: partial 16S ribosomal RNA
Rfam family: Bacterial small subunit ribosomal RNA
Source: RNAcentral